UGCCAGCCGCCGCGGUAAUACGGAGGGUGCAAGCGUUGUCCGGAAUUAUUGGGUUUAAAGGGUGCGUAGGCGGUCAUUUAAGUCAGAGCUGAAAUGUCUCGGCUCAACCGAGGAACUGGCUUUGAUACUGAAUGACUUGAGUAUUGUUGAGGUAGGCGGAAUUGAUGGCGUAGCGGUGAAAUGCAUAGAUAUCAUCAAGAACACCGAUUGCGAAGGCAGCUUACUGGACAAUAACUGACGCUGAGGCACGAAAGCGUGGGGAGCGAACAGGAUUAGAUA
RNAcentral lists this ribosomal RNA (279 nucleotides) under uncultured bacterium. RNAcentral's name for it is "partial 16S ribosomal RNA". It matches the Rfam family "Bacterial small subunit ribosomal RNA", at positions 506 to 784 of the family's 1533-position model. The record is from RNAcentral.